CUCUAAGAUUAGUGUCUGCUUCAUGUGACUCUAAUUUUCAAAUUCAAAAGGAUCUAAUGCUUAGUUCUGUUUCAACCUUUUGGGUAAUUACAUCACAUUGUACACGAUAACAGGUUUAGAGAGUUCAAGGGAUAUCCCAAAACUGCACCUCUAUGAAAGCCAAGGACGGAUGGCUGGCCUAGGCUUUGAUCAUCUUUGCUGGAGGAAUAAAAGAAGAUUCCUGUUUUAUCUUAAGUGACAUAAAAGGUGCAAAUUCUUUUAUGAUAACGUGGCAGUAGCAACAAUUUUCUCAAUGUUUGCCUCUUCCUAUGACUCCAACUUCUCUUUGUGUCCAAAAAAACUCCCAAAUUAGGAUUCCAUGUCCUCCAGGUCUACAAAGCAACAUUUCUCUUCAAUAUGCACUUAAACUUGUUCUUAUCUUAUUGCUCAAAGGAACCGCCUGUUCUUGUUCCCACCUUCAGAAACAAAGGCACUUAUUAGUCAAUUGAACUCUUUUCUGAUAGAAUUUCACUGUAUUCCGUCCAAUCCAUUACCAUAAAUCUGUUUUCAAUUUUUGAUAAUGAUGGAUUUAUGUUGUACCUGCAGUUUUUGGCUAAUUACAUCACAUUGUACAAGAUAACAGUCUCCCGAAAAACUGCAAAUCUCUUCAAAGCUAUGGAUGGAUGGCUGGACUAAGCUUCGAUCAUCUUUCUAGAGGAAUAAAAGAAGAUUCUUGUUUUCUCUUAAGAGACAUAAAAGCUGCAAAUUUUUUUAUGAUAACGAGGCGGUAGCAACAAUUUUCUCAACUGAUUCUGAAGUCAUAGUUAUAUACAAGGUUUUACACAUUCUGGUUUAGUUUCAUUUAAUUUUGAUUAGAUUUAGAGGGGAAAGUUACAAACUUUCUAUUUGAAAUUAUAUUUGAACUUCAAUAAUAUUGGAUCAUUCUCUUAUUUUGAGGCAUUUUCCAAGAUGUUUUAUGGUAAAUUAUGGUCGUAAGCUACAAGGAAUAUGAUUGGCUUUUCUGGGGCUCCAGCAUCUGAUUUGAAAACAAUUUGUCUGCUUUUUUUUUUUUUUUUUUUUUUUGCUUUUUUCAUAAUUUUUUUUCUGCAGAAAGAUUAAUAUCAUAAUCUUUCUUUUUUUCUUGAUGAAUCUAAUGCAGUUAUAAUUGUUUUUUGAUUCCAAGUUAGUGCAUUUAGUAUGAAACUUGCCUCAAGUUAUUCAAUGAAUUCCCUGUUUAAAAAUUUGUUGUUUUUAAUUUGUCUAUACUUAAAUCCACAUUCACCAAUUUCUAUUCCCAUUUUCUCAGUUAGAUAUUGAUUGAAAGACCAUCAAACUUAGCUGGAGUAGAUUUAUUUAUUGGAGUCAAAGAAACGGUAUGUUCUCUUAGUUUUGCAGAAUUUUAUUAAUCUAUGUUUUAUUUUAGUUACCACAAUUGUUAGUGAUUCUUAGUUAUUCCAAGCAUUAAUUCUCAAGAACUUUCCUUUUUAUUUAGUAAUCAUCUACUGCUGCAUUUGCAGACUUGGGUAUAUAAACAAAUAGGAUCUGUCCUUUUUUUCAUAAU
Molecule: long non-coding RNA, 1540 nt
Filed under: Vitis vinifera (wine grape)
Lineage: Eukaryota; Viridiplantae; Streptophyta; Magnoliopsida; Vitales; Vitaceae
Description: long non-coding RNA (VVIN_LNC000996)
Source: RNAcentral